RNAcentral lists this ribosomal RNA (1109 nucleotides) under Halomonas sp. MH184. RNAcentral's name for it is "bacterial SSU rRNA". It matches the Rfam family "Bacterial small subunit ribosomal RNA", at positions 45 to 1151 of the family's 1533-position model. Lineage: Bacteria; Pseudomonadati; Pseudomonadota; Gammaproteobacteria; Oceanospirillales; Halomonadaceae. The record is from RNAcentral.
GGCCUAACACAUGCAAGUCGAGCGGUAACAGGGGUAGCUUGCUACCCGCUGACGAGCGGCGGACGGGUGAGUAAUGCAUAGGAAUCUGCCCGGUAGUGGGGGAUAACCUGGGGAAACCCAGGCUAAUACCGCAUACGUCCUACGGGAGAAAGGGGGCUCCGGCUCCCGCUAUUGGAUGAGCCUAUGUCGGAUUAGCUAGUUGGUGAGGUAAUGGCUCACCAAGGCAACGAUCCGUAGCUGGUCUGAGAGGAUGAUCAGCCACAUCGGGACUGAGACACGGCCCGAACUCCUACGGGAGGCAGCAGUGGGGAAUAUUGGACAAUGGGGGCAACCCUGAUCCAGCCAUGCCGCGUGUGUGAAGAAGGCCCUCGGGUUGUAAAGCACUUUCAGCGAGGAAGAACGCCUAGUGGUUAAUACCCAUUAGGAAAGACAUCACUCGCAGAAGAAGCACCGGCUAACUCCGUGCCAGCAGCCGCGGUAAUACGGAGGGUGCAAGCGUUAAUCGGAAUUACUGGGCGUAAAGCGCGCGUAGGUGGCUUGAUAAGCCGGUUGUGAAAGCCCCGGGCUCAACCUGGGAACGGCAUCCGGAACUGUCAGGCUAGAGUGCAGGAGAGGAAGGUAGAAUUCCCGGUGUAGCGGUGAAAUGCGUAGAGAUCGGGAGGAAUACCAGUGGCGAAGGCGGCCUUCUGGACUGACACUGACACUGAGGUGCGAAAGCGUGGGUAGCAAACAGGAUUAGAUACCCUGGUAGUCCACGCCGUAAACGAUGUCGACCAGCCGUUGGGUGCCUAGAGCACUUUGUGGCGAAGUUAACGCGAUAAGUCGACCGCCUGGGGAGUACGGCCGCAAGGUUAAAACUCAAAUGAAUUGACGGGGGCCCGCACAAGCGGUGGAGCAUGUGGUUUAAUUCGAUGCAACGCGAAGAACCUUACCUACCCUUGACAUCUACAGAAGCCGGAAGAGAUUCUGGUGUGCCUUCGGGAACUGUAAGACAGGUGCUGCAUGGCUGUCGUCAGCUCGUGUUGUGAAAUGUUGGGUUAAGUCCCGUAACGAGCGCAACCCUUGUCCUUAUUUGCCAGCGAGUAAUGUCGGGAACUCUAAGGAGACUG